UACGUAGGGCGCAAGCGUUGUUCGGAAUUAUUGGGCGUAAAGGGCUCGUAGGCGGUCUGUCGCGUCGGGAGUGAAAACUCAGGGCUUAACCCUGAGCCUGCUUCCGAUACGGGCAGACUAGAGGUAUGCAGGGGAGAACGGAAUUCCUGGUGUAGCGGUGAAAUGCGCAGAUAUCAGGAGGAACACCGGUGGCGAAGGCGGUUCUCUGGGCAUUACCUGACGCUGAGGAGCGAAAGUGUGGGGAGCGAACAGG
RNAcentral lists this ribosomal RNA (253 nucleotides) under uncultured bacterium. Its description in RNAcentral is "partial 16S ribosomal RNA". It matches the Rfam family "Bacterial small subunit ribosomal RNA", at positions 524 to 776 of the family's 1533-position model. The record is from RNAcentral.